AUGGCCGCCGACACUGCCUACGCGAAGCGGGUGCUGCUCGCCUGCAACGGCGGCGCCGACGCCGUCUUGCGGGGGGUCGGCGUCGGCCUCGCCAGGCACGGCUGCAGGCUGGUCCUGGUGGGCGACGAGGGCGCCCUGGCUGCGACGGUGGAGGAGGUGCGGCGCAGCGCGGCAGAAGGGGCGGCGGCCAUCGCGGUGGUCGGGAUGGACCUCGCGGCCUGCGACGAGGCUGCUACUUGCUCGUUUCCGUCCAGAUCAUACCCGAGUUCCUGCUGCUGA
RNAcentral lists this ribosomal RNA (279 nucleotides) under Triticum aestivum (bread wheat). Its description in RNAcentral is "partial small subunit ribosomal RNA". The record is from RNAcentral. Lineage: Eukaryota; Viridiplantae; Streptophyta; Magnoliopsida; Poales; Poaceae.